RNAcentral lists this ribosomal RNA (421 nucleotides) under Streptomyces virginiae. RNAcentral describes it as "bacterial SSU rRNA". It matches the Rfam family "Bacterial small subunit ribosomal RNA", at positions 60 to 498 of the family's 1533-position model. The record is from RNAcentral. Lineage: Bacteria; Bacillati; Actinomycetota; Actinomycetes; Kitasatosporales; Streptomycetaceae.
AGUCGAACGAUGAAGCCCUUCGGGGUGGAUUAGUGGCGAACGGGUGAGUAACACGUGGGCAAUCUGCCCUUCACUCUGGGACAAGCCCUGGAAACGGGGUCUAAUACCGGAUACCACUCCUGCCUGCAUGGGCGGGGGUUGAAAGCUCCGGCGGUGAAGGAUGAGCCCGCGGCCUAUCAGCUUGUUGGUGGGGUAAUGGCCCACCAAGGCGACGACGGGUAGCCGGCCUGAGAGGGCGACCGGCCACACUGGGACUGAGACACGGCCCAGACUCCUACGGGAGGCAGCAGUGGGGAAUAUUGCACAAUGGGCGAAAGCCUGAUGCAGCGACGCCGCGUGAGGGAUGACGGCCUUCGGGUUGUAAACCUCUUUCAGCAGGGAAGAAGCGAAAGUGACGGUACCUGCAGAAGAAGCGCCGGCU